GACCCGUUCGUCUAGAGGCCUAGGACACUGGCCUUUCACGCCGGCAACACGGGUUCGAAUCCCGUACGGGUCGCCA
This 76-nucleotide transfer RNA is filed under the name Alphaproteobacteria bacterium. RNAcentral describes it as "tRNA-Glu". It matches the Rfam family "tRNA". Rfam says of the family: Transfer RNA (tRNA) molecules are approximately 80 nucleotides in length. Lineage: Bacteria; Pseudomonadati; Pseudomonadota; Alphaproteobacteria. The record is from RNAcentral.